Long non-coding RNA from Gorilla gorilla gorilla (western lowland gorilla), 3931 nucleotides. RefSeq lists it as uncharacterized. The transcript is spliced from 2 exons. NCBI's taxonomy places the organism in Eukaryota, Metazoa, Chordata, Mammalia, Primates, Hominidae. The record is from RefSeq and is a predicted model, not a curated record.
CUGUCGGCCAGGCUGGAGUGCAGUGGCGUGAUCUCGGCUCGCUGCAACCUCUGCCUCCUGGGUUCAAGCGAUUCUCCUGCCUCAGCCUCCCGAGUAGCUGGGAUUACAGGUGCCCGCCACCACGCCCAGCUAAUUUUUGUAUUUUUAGUAGAGACGUGGUUUCACCAUGUUGGCCAGGCUGCUCUCAAUCUCCUGACCUCGUGAUCCGCCCGCCUUGGCCUCCCAGAGCGCUGGGAUUACAGGUGUGAGCCACUGAGCCCAGCCGGCAUCACUUUAUUCGAAGCCUUAUCACCGGCCCAUAAUCACGCUUCUUUAAAUCGCGUGCAACGUGUUUUCAGCCCAGUCGGGUGGCCUUUUAACGGGGAGUGCAGCCCGCAUCCGAUUCCCGCUCUGCCGGUUCCUGCUCCUCCCCAUUCUUCCUCCUGUGGCUCUUUUGGGGUUGCCUGGCUUUGCAGCUGGCUCAGGCUUCUCUCCCGGUUUCCACCGAGGGCUCGCUCCUGCUCAGGGUCCCCGCGUGGUCCCGGUGCUCCGAUGCCACCAGGCGGCGCUGUUCCCUUGCAUCCUCAGCAUCAGAUUCCCAGUCCUGCAGGACAGGAAGCGGAACACCACCCUCCACCAGGGACUGGGAGCACCUUCUCCCCACCGCGCCGGAGCCCCCGGGGGCUUCCGGCCACUUACACCCCCAGGCCUGGGAGGUCAGCCGUGGGAUGCCUCUCUAUCGCAUGCUCCUGAUUCCACACCGAAACCUCACUUUCCGGUGGCUCUCACGUGGCCUUGAAUGUCUCACGGAGGAAUACUGUGAGAUGAGACAACCUAUGGUCCGAGCCCAGCACACGAUCUUCCGGGGGGAAGAGGCUCCAUCAGCCACAGUGUGCAUCAUUCCUGCGAUGGUUUCAGAACAACCCGGAGACAAGCUGCAGGAGCCCUGCUGUGCUGAGUGUGGGAGAGCAACAGGCAAGGGCACUGUUUUCCUAAAGCACCUGGGAGUGGGGUGGCCCUAACCCGAGAGGGGUGCUGCAGUGUGCCCACCUGCCCGUCCAUGCCCGCGGACGCCCACAACGUGCGCUGGGAUGAGCACAGAGGAGCUUGAGUCCCCCUGGAUGGCUGUCAUGGGCCUGUGGGCGUGAGACUGUCCAGACACCCUCCCUGGCACCCUCACGUGACUCCCAGGCCUUCAUGGUCCAGACAGAGCAUCCCCAGACUCCACCAAUCUGCAGCAUAAAGGAGGCAUGACAGCUUGAACUUUAGGAAAAAAGGAAUGAUAAAAAAGCUGGUCCGGGAUUCUGCUUGAAAUACUGUGCCCUCGCCCGCCUGUCGGUGUGCCUAAAGACAACUGGGUGAUGUUGGGAAGAGCAGAUAAAAGGCUGGCAUCCACACAGGGCCCUGUGUGAGCACCCAUCCUGUGCAGGGCCCUGAGCGAGCACCGGUGUGCAAAGCUGGCCGCCAGUGGGGCCACUCUGGCAGCAGGGUUUGCACUCAGCUGACCCGUGGUCUCAUCCUGCACUGAGCUUGGACCGAGGCAGAUGCUACAGCACAGUCAGCUCAAGGGUCAAGGUGAUCUCAGCCCAGCACCCCUGCUCCACUCCCUGGGUACCCAUCACAAGGCUCUGACGGUGCCCAGCUGUCACUGAGCGUGGCCUGGCCCUGAGCUGGCGAGCCUGGGUGAACCUGGAACUUUGUUUAUUCACUCAGCAGACAUGAGCGAGUGGAAGAACUAACUUUGACUUGACCCUGGGGCCUCUGCUGGCCUCAGGGAGCUGCAAGGUGAGGUGUCCAUCCCUGCACCUGCUCCUCCAAAGCCACCAAGCGCCCACACGAGUGACUGGACCAUCACACAGGGACUGGACAGGCGAUCCUUCCUGGCUUCCUGUGGCUUCCAGUCUUCCUUGUUCACAGAUGAGGGCACUAAGACUCCAGGAUGAACCACUGCCCGUGCCUCAGUUUCCUCAUGUGUAGAUUGGGAUAAUGAUCACGUCUACCUCAUAGGGCUGUUGGAGGAUCCAUCAAGAUUAAUACAACAGCAGGGUGAGGUGCCCAGUGAAUGCUCAAUACACAGAGGCUUGAGGCAUAUGGUGGGCAGGAGCAGGACUAUCCCCUGUGACCCCCCAACAAGCCGUGCAGCCCCAUCGGGGUUUCCCAAGGGGCAGGAAGAGUGUCUGCUGGCUGGGUCACCCCCACUUCCACUGGCCGCCAUGUGCAAGGCACAGAGAGGGGUGGGUUUGUUUGCCAGGGCUGCCCUAGCAAAGCGCCCACCACGCUUAGGUUAAAUCAACAACAGCCGGGUACAGUGGCCCUCACCUGUAAUCCCAGCACUUUGGGAGGCCGAGGCAGGUGGAUCACGAGGUCAGGAGUUCAAGACCAGCCUGGCCAACAUGGUGAAACCCCGUCUCUACUAAAAAUACAAAAAUUAGCCGGGCAUGGUGGCACACACCUGUAGUCCCAGCUACUCGGGAGCCUGAGGUGGGAGAAUCACUUGAACCUGGGAGGUGGAGGUUGCAGUGAGCCAAGAUCACACCACUGCACUCCAGCCUGGGUGACAGAGAGAGACUGUGUCUUGAAAAAAAAAAAGCAACAACAGUUCAGAGCCCUGGAGGCUGGAAGUCUGCAGGUCUGCAGGGCCGCACUCCCUCUCAAGGCUCUAAGGGAAGAACUCUCCCGCCCCUCCCGGCUCCUGGUGGUCCCAGGUGCUCCUUGGCUCGUGGCCACAGCACUCCAGUCCCUGCCUCUGUUGUCAUGUGUGAACUUUGUUCCUGUGUCUGUCUCUGCCCAAAUCUCCCUCUUCUUCUAGGGAUACCAGUUAUUGGCUUAGGGCCUGCCCUAAUCCCGUGUGGCCUCAUCUGAAUCAGAUUUCAUCCACAAAGGCCUUGUUUCCAAGUAAGCUCCCAUUCACAGGUGCCAGGGAUUACAUCAUCAGUAUAUCUUUUCUGGAAAACACAAUUCUUCCCCCAACAAUCAGCAAGCCCCAGUGGGUGCUGCUGUGGCCACAAGAGAGUCAGGAUGGUCUGGGAGGAGCCCUCAGGGGCUGCAACUGCCCCAAGACCACACAGCUAGUCCCAUGAUGUGGCUGGGCCUUUGCCAGCUGGCUUGGCCUCCGUAGGCCUCUGGUUUUGCCCCUUACCACACGGGGGUGGGCCUGCUGACCCAAAGCCCACCCUCUGCCUCUCCCAGGCCCCACCUGCCCUGGCAGCCACAGAGCAAAGCCAGGACGACUGUGGCUGGUUAGACUAUUCACCAUUGCUUCCCCACCCCAACCACCGUGGGACACAGACAUCCCCGGAUCCCCCUGCAGACUUGCAAACGCACAGUGGGGUGAAAGCCUAUGCCCCUAGAAGGCUCUCAAGCCAUGGUCUCCAGUACAGCAGCCACGAGCCACACGUGGCCACUGAGCCCUUCACAUGUGGCAAGAUCAAACCAAUGUGUGAGAUGUGUGAAAUGCACACCAAAUUUCAGACUUAGUACUAAAAGCAGUGUGUUUCAUUAAUAAUUUUUAUAUGAAUGUCAAAAUGCUGGAAUAUUUUGGACAUAUUGGGUUAAAUAGAAUCUGUUAUAGGCCAGGCGCGGUGGCUCACACCUGUAAUCCCAGCACUUUGGGAGGCCAAGGCGGGUGGAUCAUGAGGUCAGGAGAUCGAGACCAUCCUGGCCAACACAGUGAAACCCCGUCUCUACUAAAACUACAAAAAAUUAGUUGGGCGUGGUGGCAGGUGCCUGUAGUCCCAGCUACUCGGGAGGCUGAGCCAGGAGAAUGGCAUGAACCCAGGAGGUGGAGCUUGCAGUGAGCUGAGAUCGCGCAACUGCACUCCAGCCUGGGCGACAGAGCGAGACUCCAUCUCAAAAAAAAAAAAAAAAAAGAAUUUGUUAUUAAAAUCAGUUUCACCUGUUUCUGUUACCUCAUUAGUGUGGCUACUAGAAAAUAUAAAAUUCUGUGCGUGGA